AGGACAAACGCUGGCGGAAUGUAUUAGGCAUGCAAGUCGCACGAGCCUUCGGGCUAGUGGCGGACGGGUGAGUAACACGUGGGUAACCUGCCUCGUAGUGGGGAAUAACUCGCCGAAAGGCGAGCUAAUACCGCAUAACACCCCCGGUGAGAAUCCGGGUGGUAAAAGCUCCGGCGCUACGAGAGGGGCCCGCGGCCGAUUAGCUUGUUGGUGGGGUAAUGGCCUACCAAGGCGACGAUCGGUAGCUGGUCUGAGAGGAUGGUCAGCCACACGGGGACUGAGAUACGGCCCCGACUCCUACGGGAGGCAGCAGUGGGGAGUAUUGGACAAUGGGGGCAACCCGUGAUCCAGCAAUGCCGCGUGGGUGAUGAAGGCCUUCGGGUUGUAAAGCCCUUUCGCACGCGACGAUGAUGACGGUAGCGUGAGAAGAAGCCCGGCUAACUUCGUGCCAGCAGCCGC
Molecule: ribosomal RNA, 459 nt
Filed under: uncultured bacterium
Lineage: Bacteria
Description: SSU rRNA
Rfam family: Bacterial small subunit ribosomal RNA
Source: RNAcentral